Passer domesticus (house sparrow) is the source of this 10285-nucleotide long non-coding RNA. RefSeq lists it as uncharacterized. The record is from RefSeq and is a predicted model, not a curated record. The transcript has 9 exons. Lineage: Eukaryota; Metazoa; Chordata; Aves; Passeriformes; Passeridae.
AUGCUAUUUUGCAUUACAGAGUUUGUGCUAAUAUGAGCCAAAUGGAGUUUCUACAGCUAAGGGAAGUCCAGAACCUAAUGUAAUUCUGAAAUCUGAUUUGCUCAGUUUCUUUUUCUUCUUGGGUAGGUCCUAUUCUUUACUGAUCAAUACCAGAACCACCUGACAGCACAUUUUGUGACAUCUUAGGUUGGAUCAAGAUAAGCACAAAACACCAGAUACAAGCUGCAUCCUUCAUGAUGAUUUCAGACUGAUGAUUCAAGGGCCUUCUUCAGGACCUGAAUGUGUGCAUAUUUAAGGAAAUCAUGUUUUCCUUAUUUCUCAUGUGGACAUGAAUUCCUCCAGUCAUAAACUAACCCACAACAGAAACAGUGACUAUCAAAAGAUAACUUAGAAUUUGUACCUGCAAGACAAAAGCUGGUUUCCUAUUUCCAGGAAAUCAUCACUUUUGUUGAGUAACACCAUUUAAAAUAUUUAUUUCCUUCCUUUUAUUUAUACACUGUAGUUUCUACUUCUUAUUUUAUUUGAAAGAGGAAGUUUCUUGAAAGUUUUAGGUUUUUUUUAAAGAUAUCUUUCCAAGUCUGUAUCAAAAAGAGAACAAUUAAAUCACUCUGAAAAAUGGAAGAGGUUUUAGCAAUAAAUCAUUGAGAUUGGAAAGCUAAGGGAAAAGACCUUUACUGCUUAUUUACAUUUACCUAAGAAUCAAUCUUUAAAUUGCAAUGAAUCUUUUCAUUAUAAGAACUGGCCAGGUGUAGCACAUCAAAAAAGACAUAUUUAUAUUCCCCUCUGAAUUUGCUUUUCAGUCCCUGGCUGUCUUCCACUGCAAACAGAAUCUGCAUCAGAAAUGGGUAUAAGCCAGCAGUUAUUCAUUAAUAAUUUUUAGCAAUUACAUUUCUGACAAUUCUUCCAGUUAUGACAUAAUGUAGGUUUCUAACAUAUGGCAGUGUCUGGCCUUGGUCUGACUUUUGGGUUCAUAUUGGCAUCACCUUGUGUUGACUACCAAUCUACUUGUCAAGGAGCAAGGAGGAAUACUCUCUGCUUAUCUCUCUUCUGGGAGGCAGGCAUACAUCAGAAGCUUAAUUCAGGCUGUGCUGUUCUGAUGUGUAUAUGAUGCAAAAAAACAUGAUGAUAAUGAUAAAUGAUAAACUAUAAACAUUUAUUUCCAUAAUUAAAAACCUUGUACUGGGUUGAAAAAAUAAGAGAUGCCACUUAUAUGCCAACUAAUAGGUGCACUCAGACUGUUCUUGUUCCUUGCUUAUUUUAUCUGUUCUCUCUGUGUGAACUGCAGUCCCCUCCUUUCCUUCUUCUGUCUGAGCAAACCACCAGGGUGGUUUGCAUCUGUAAAAUCAGAGAAGACUUGCCUGUUUUGAACUAUUUCUAAUUCUCUUUGACUUUGCUAUUUUUCAAGAAAUUUAAUUACAUCCAGUAAGGAACAAAGGUUUAAGGAAGCAAGAAACUGUGGAUGUCUUUGAUGCACAAUUAAUGAUUCCCUGUAGAACACGUUUGAGCUCAUGAAAGGAGUUCAAACCUGAGUGACCAAACAGAUGACUAACAAUGCCAAUUCUUAGAAACUUGGUCUACAAGGAGAAGUGCAUGGAAAGGACAGAGGGAAAAAAGCUGCACUAUAGCUCUGCAAGCCCCAUGUGCAGAAGUAGAUGAAAGAGUUUCCUAGAAUUCACCAGGAGUGAACAAUAUCACAAACUAAAGGAAAAACUCUUCUCUCUGGAAAAAAGAAGACGAUCCCAAGAUGAAUGGAUUGUCUGGACAAUAGCCACAUGGAAUGCAGUCAGCAGAACUGAACAGUAAAUUGGGGAAAAGUAAUUUGUGCAGUGGGAGACUGUGACCACUGAUUCUUUGGCCAUCUAUUUAACCCAGACCCCAGACUCAAGCAGAAAGAAGAACUGCACAUGUGGACUAGCAAGAGAAACUGCUGUCAGUAGUCCCUGCUGUUGCUGGUGUGAUAAUCACAGAAGAUUCUGAGUUGGAAGCAACCCACAAGGAUCAUCAAGUCCAAUUUUUAGUGGAAUGGCCCAUACAUGGAUUGAACCCACUACCCUGAUUAUGUUAGUACCAUGCUCUGACCAGCUGAGCUAAUCUCAGGAGAAAGAAUGGGAGAUGACAGCAUCUGCUGGGCACAAAGGAAACUAUUGCUCCUGAUACAAGAGAAUAACAGGAAGAUUCAUGAACAGAAUGGUUGCAAGAAAGGCAGAAGAGGAAGACAGGCUGCUGUUGGCGGGGAGUGAAGGUGCUGAGAAAUUUCAAUAACUGGCACCUCAUUUAGCUGCUGGGCAGAUGUUUGUAGGACUAUUGGACUUCAUGCACAGCUCACAGCAGUGAAGAACUUGACUGGAAAUGGGCACAGAGCUGAACCAAUAACUGGAAAGUCCAGGGAUUUCCCAGUGUAGCAUUGGAACCAUAAGUGACUGUGGAGGCUCACCCUGGGAUACCAGGGAGUGCUCACAUUGCUGCCCUCUGACACUGAACAGUGCAGGCAGAAAGGUCACAGAGGCUGAAAGUAUGACUUUACAUGUUCCUCCACAGCAUGGCUUCUUGGUACAAGACACUGACAGCUAACUGCAUCCAGUACCAGAUGUAGCCUGGCUGCAGAAAUCAAGCAGUUGGCCCAGGUUCACCACUGUGCUAGGAGACUCAUCCAUACUUACCAAUAUCAGCACUGACAUCUGUGAGAAUGCAUUUAUUUCCACCUAUUCAUUGCAUAUUGACAGGAAGAUGAAGGAGAGAGAAGCAAUCUUUUUAUUUGAGAUGAAGGGAAGUUAACUAAGCAUAUCUUUUAGGAGGAAUUAUAUUAUUUUAUGCAUAUUUUUAAUGUAUUUGAAAUGUGAAAGUAGAUCAAGGACUACAUUUUUGAAAGCACUGUGGCAAGAACAAUAACAAUGAAAUCACUCCUUAUAAAUGAACUCACCUGUCAACGGGCCAGAUUAUGAGCUCAAUUACGUUGAUAUGAAUCUUUAAUACCUCCACAGAAAGCAAUUAAUCUUCUUGUUAUUCUCACUAUUUUAAUUGCAAAUGGAAUCUGCUGUGACAUGCCCAAGCACCUGAAUUUGAUGACCUUCAAGAUCUUGCACAGACCUUGAAAACAUUAGUGCUACUCAAAGCUGCUUAUCCACAUUGGUAUUAGUGACCCCAAGACAAUUAGAAACUGCUACAAAAUUCUGAAAACAAAGAUGAAGACAGAAUAACAAGAAGUGCUUCUGUCUCUUCUCUCAAAUUCAUACAAUUGCACAGGCUUAUACUGUCAGGUAAGACUUUCAGAGUUAUGGAAGAUUUUCUUAUGGAAGUCACAGAAAGUUUCUGACCUAGAUCUUCCUUGCCAGUGCUCAUUGAGGAAGGUCUGUGAGGAGCAUGGGAUGUCCAGCUGACAAAAAAGGGACUACCUAAGAGAAUCACCAUUCAUCAUCUGGUAAUGAUUGAUUCAGAGCAUUUGAUGAGGAUGCUAAGAACAUGGAAGCUAGCUGAAAACUGCUGGAGGAAAAUGAGAGUUGCCUGAUGAGCAGUUGAGAUACCUGUACACGAAUAUCCAAAUAACAGGAGAAAACUGGAAAAAUUUGAAAUCUUAAAACGCCAUUAAAAUUGUGUAUUAUUAUUGAAGAGACACAUUAGUGAGUCAUUGAACUGCAAUGUUUACACAAAAAGAAUUAAUAUCUGAGGGAAAUUUAAGAUAUAUUUUUUCCUACAUAUUAAAAGUAUUUAUUUUUGCUCUCAUUCAUGAAGUGAUAACAAAUAGUAAAAGACGUAGUAUUUCUGAAUAAAUGUAAAAGGAGUAAAACAGAUGUAUGGAGUGUGCUGCAGACUGCCUAGUAAGAGGGAAAUAUUGAAAGGUUUUAAGCAAUUACCAAAAAAAGCUAUGCAGGAUGGCAGUGAAGAACCUGAGUUACAUAUAUUUUUUGAAAAAUAAUAUGAUAGAACAGAAAUAUGUCAUUCAAAAUUUAUUAAGACCAACCUUUUCUCUAGAAGAUGAAAGAAGCUAUUGAAGAACCACUCUUGAUUUAAUUCUGAAAGGCAGAGAAGAGCUACUUAAGUAUUUGGUAUGAAAGUAUGAGAUAGGGUCACUAUCAGCUGAGUAAAAAACAUCUUCACACCAGAUUUAGUGAUUCAUUGCUAGGCUAUAAAGAUACUUCAGAUAUAUCUGUAUAUUUCCUAUAUACCUAUAAGGUGAUUCCUGAUCAGUUCAGUAUUUCCUUUAAUGACUUUAUGUAAAGGAAUACAAAAUAGAUGUAUUGGUUUUUAGGUUUUUUGAAUAAUUUUGGGAUACACCUUCCAUGGUCUGCAUCUCCUAUUGGUUGAUACUUUCUAGCCCACACCCAUAGGCUCUCAGAAGCUCCAGAGCCCCUGACCCACUGUUCCCAAUAGAGAAGACAAUUUCCAAAUUAAAAUAUUUCAUCUACAGAUUUACAUAUAAUUAAUACAUUCUUUAUCCCUUUUAAUAUCCUUUGGUUUUUUGGUUAUCUCCUUCAGUCAGGCAACAUGCACUCUUUAGUUGAUGACUUUAUGUUAAACUUGUAUGGAAACUUUGUUCCUAGCUGCACUACAGUUCAGGUUCCACAUCUUAAAAUGGGAAAAGUUGCAGUUUGUGUAUAAUCCAUGAUAAAAUAUGGGAGGUGUGUUGUGCAGAUCUCGGGCUGCAGACAUUGGUAUGUUGUGUAUGCGCCUCCCACCAAUGUUAUCGAUGUUCUCAAUGUCUCUGAUGCAGCAGUUGUCCUGCUGAAAUAGUCAACCUUCAUCAUUUUGUCACAUAGAGGGCUGACACAGAUUCUCAGCAAACAUGCAUGAGAUUAAGGAAUUAGAGACUUUAAAGUUAUGCUUUGUUUGCAAAUCAUAAUUUUCUUAAGUAGGUAUUAAAUAUUCUCAAAAUAUGCAGUAUCAGGAGAAGCAUCAUGUAAGUGUUCAUAUCUCCUAGCUGGCAGCUACCCACAAGGCAUUUAUUCCCAACUAAUUCCAGCCAAGUUUUUCAUUCUCUACUGUUGCUUUAAACUUUCCAUUUCACACACUGAUUAGCUCAGUAAUAUUAUCAGUUUCCUUUCUAAUCUGUGAGGCACCGAUGAAUUCAAGCAGGGCCAGGAGGGAGGUCACAAGCAACCUGCAAGGCAACAUUAAAAUUCAAAAUGAUCUUGAGAAACUGGGGAAAUAAGAUGAAAUCUAGCAAGAUGAAAUUCAAUAAUGAGAAGUAAAAGGCACUGCACCUUGAAGAAGAACUCAUAUGUGUAACUACAAAAUGAGGGGAGCUCACAAGGCAGCAGUGUGCCACGUGAGACCUGGGAAUGAUAGUACAUUCUGAGGAGAAAGAAAGUCAACAGAGAGAUGAAAAUUCAAAACUGGUGAAUCUCAUUCUGGGAUUCAUUAACACCAUGUGAGAGAAAUGCAGAAAUGAGACAACGUGGGCACCCUGAAUUUGGUACAUGCAGGCUGCUGUGAGCUUACCAGAAAGAACAGACACAGGCAGGAUAUCGGUGCACCAUGAAAUUAUCAUCACAUCAAUGCAAGCAGGUGGACACUUUAUGAAGGAUACAGUCAGAAAUAAUGGGAGUAGGAAUGGGUGAGUAGGUCACUUAGCCUACUAUUUUUAAAACUAAUUAUUAGUAGAUAUGAGAUUUUCAGUUUAUGGUUUACCUGUCACGUAUCAUCCAGCCCAAACAUGCCAUUCUGUGAUAGUGUGAAUUAAGAAAAAGGCAACGGCAGCAUCCAGCUCUGGGGUCCCCAAUAUAAGGAGAUGGACCUGUUGGAGAGAGUGCAGACAGGGGCAUGGGGAUGAUCAGAGGGCUGGAACAUCUCUUCUAUGGAGACAGGCUGAGAGAGCUGGGGUUGUUCAGCCUGGAGAAUAGAAGGCUUCAGGGAGACCUUAGAGCACCUUCCAGUACCUAAAGGGGCUACACGAGAGCUGGAGAGGGUCCCUUUACAAGGGCAUGUGAUGAUAGCACAAGGGUGAGUGGAUUAAACUGAAAUAGAUUAGGUUUAGAUUAGUUACAAAGAUGAAAUUCUUUAGUCUGAGGGUGGUGAGGCACUGGCACAUGUUGCCAAAAGGAGUUGUGAAUGCCCUAUUCCUGUCAGGGUUAAAGGCCAGGCUGAAUGUGGCUGGGAGCAACCUGGCCUGGUGAAAGGCAUCCCUGUGGCAGAGGGGUUGCAGUGAAAUGAUCUUCAGUGUUUCUUGCAAACCAAACAAUUCUGUGAUUCUAUGGCCCAUUUAUAUUAGCUAUAUAUUGGCUGGGCACCUAUAGGCUAGCAAGGAAGGCUGUAUAUCAUCUUGGCACCGGGUUUUAGUAAACACCAAACCAGAGCUGACUCAGAGAAAAGUGAUGUGAUGAUGUGUUCCUGGCCUAUUUCUAUAGGCAUUUUUAAUUGAUCAGUCACCCAGUCUUCCAAGAAAAAAAUCUGACCAGGGCAUUUUUUAGCAGUCACUGUAUGUUUCAGAAAAAAAAAGAAAGUAUAGGUAUAUAUGUAAGUAUAAGUAUAUAUGUAUUAAUAUAUAUCUUAAGUAUAUAUGGCAUUCAGAGGACACUAAUUUUACUCAUAUUUAUUGCUAUUUGUACGUGCAGAGUUCUCAGGAAUAUUUCUUUUUCUUCUGCACUCUCAAACAGACAGCUGGAAAUGCGUGAAUAGUACCAUUAACAUUAAAAAAAACCCAAAAAAACCCAAAAACAAAACCAAAACCCUAAAACUAUUCUCUGUUAAGAAUAAAAACCAAAAGCAUUUGCAAAACAAGAACCUCUCUUCUAAGCGACCGGUUUGUUCCUGAACAUGAGACCUCACAGGUAGCAGUGGAGCUGCUCCAGGCCUCCUGCAAACACUUCUAUGGUUCUUUUAUGUUACUUUUCUUCAUCUUUUCUUCAUCUUUUUUUGUGUGUUUGCAUGUGAUGACUGAUUCCCAGUUCAACAACAACUCCUCUGUUGCUCAGGAGAUGCAAAUAUAAGCACAAUGGGUACAGUGACCUGGCGUGCAACAGAGAAAAAUGCCUUCAAUAAUUAAUGAGAGAAUGGGAUGUGGAACCACUAAAUCCAGUCUGAAGUUGAUUACAGAGCUGUCAGUCAUAUGCAGGGCAAUGUAAUGAAACAGAGCAACUCAGCAGUCAGGAUACGUAUGAAAGUCAUUUCCUAUCCCUUCUGCACUUUUUUUAUGGACUGUAAAACUGACAAUUGGAUUAUUGAAAGGAAAAACAGAUGAAAUAUGUCUGUUUUGAAUGGGAACGUAUCUCAGUAAUAUAGCCCACACACACACUGUCCUAUUUUUAUCCAGAGUUCAAGAAAUAAGUUAUUCAAAUGUAUUUAAAUAAGCCUUCUACCCUACCAAUAUAGUUUCAAACUGCCUCAUCUGUUGUGUCAUAAGCAUAAACCACCCUAGAUUAAAUUUAUAUGUAAUUAUUUUGUUCCUCAUAUGUCCUUCUAUCCAAGAUAUGUCCCUGAAGUGGCUAUCUUGUGAUUUUGAAACUUACAUUGUUCUUUACCUGAAGCAGAAUUCAGAUCAGUUUCUCAAGGUCAUUUUUAAUAAAAAGCAAGCCUAGUAUCAGACAAAUUAUUAUUUAGAAUAAAAAAAGUACUCAGUUAUAAGUUUUUUGUGAUUGUUUCUUUUUAUUCCUUCUAAAGGAUCUGAUUGAAGCCUCAAAUCCCUUAUGAAUUCUUAUUGAAUUUAUCAAAUAUGAUGUGGUUCAAAAGCAGAUUGAUGCCUUAAGUUUUAGCUUUCAUAUUUUUCAGAUUCUGUGCUGCCUUGGUGUGUAACUCUGAGCUUCAUAUUAAGUGUUACUAAGUUCUCUUUACAGGGUAGGUAGACAAAACAGUCUUUUUCCAGCUUGAGAACCAAGGACAACUAUUACAAGCCUCAGGCCCAAAAAGCAUAAACAGCAGUGAAUUGAGGAGAAUGAACAAGGAGGAUGGGACGUCAAUAACUGAAGCUCUAAUUGCACAAUUAAGCCCAUAUGUAAAUGGAGCAAAACUUAUAAAAGUGUGAAAUCUCAUAAUGGGUCAUCCAUCUGGUGACCAUUUUGGGUCCAUCUUGGGUAUAACCGUGGCCAGGCUCUAGGCAUGAAGAUGACUGCAGAAGUGCAAGGUUGCACAGCUCUUUUCUUCCCAGAGUGAGUGCCCUGUGUCUAUAUCCUAAUAACAUCCUAGAAUAGGUCUGGUUUGAAUUGUCAUCUAUCAUAAGAAGUCUUCUGAAGAACAGAGAGUAUUUCUGAGGGGUUUGUCUGUUUCUGCUAAUAUACAGAAGUGGUAUCCAGAAGCCCUCAUUUGCCUUGGACCAAGGCAAACUAGAGGGCAUGCCAAGGAUUUUGUAUUCCUCAGAGGCCUGAGUCCAUUAGCGUGGGUUUGUCCCUCAGCCUAAUAAGGCAGGAGCUGGAGGGAAAGUCUUUGGAAAGGGAGGUGGGAAAAGCAAGUAGGAGAGAGCCAAAGCAAUGUGUUGGAGUCACUGACUGUGGCAGCUUGGGAAAUCCAGGGCUAAAUGAUGUUGUUCUGUGGAAAUAACCUACAGUUUACAGCCUCUGAGAUGGAUAAUGUGUCAGCUGGAAACAACAGGGAGAGUGGAAAUAAGAGACCAGGGACAGCAGGGAGACCAUGGAGUAAGUCUGGAAAAAAAAAACCUCAGGGGGAAAAAUGAUCAGGAGUGCAUGCCUAAGCUUGAUGGAUAUUUUAUGAGGUAGAAGAAACAAAAUGCUUGUUCAAAUUGCUUGUACAUACUGCUAAAUAACUUGAGCUGAGUAUGCAGAUCUGUGAAACAACCUGUAAAAGCCAGAUCAGAAAAUGCUGGCAAUUGUUCAAAUGUGUGGAGGUACUGUAGGAAAAAGCCCUACUAAAAAUUAGAUAUUUCAAAAACUACAAAAUUUGGAAACGGUAGUCCACUUGAUGCCCCAAACAACUACUAAUUUUUUGAUGCUGUUGCUUUCACACAAGGAAAGGAAACACACAUCAGUAUACUGAUGGCCACUGGGGAGCCAACAGGUGCUAAGAACCAGAGUUAUGACCCAUUUUUCUUCCUGUAGUCCAUACAUUUUACUUCUAGGUAAGCACAUUCCUCUUUUUUUGCAGAACGUUAGGAAUGCAGGCAAUGUCUGAUUAGGGUCUUUUAUGCAGAGAAAUUGCUGGAAAGUGAAAUAGAUAAAGCACAGACCAAACCCCAGUCCAAUUAGUUGCCUGUUCCAACCCAUUCUGCAGUAUCUUUUACAAAUAUACUUCAGAAAAGAAAUUAUCUCAGAAGUAUUAGCAGGGGAAUUUUCCAAGACUUUUCCCUCUGCACUAAAAAUCCCAAAUCCUUCCAAAAGCACCUUACAAAAACUGAUAAGAUAACUACCUUUUAUUUCUAAUUGCUUAGGUAGAAAUUUUUUAUUGCUAAAAGUCAAUGGAAAAACACUUCAAAAAUAUAUGAAAAAGUACCUCUUAUUGCAACAUUGUCACCUUUAUUUUAAAAAAUAUGAGUUUAUGAGCAACUUUUGAAGUAGUGGUAGUUUAUAUGCUCUGUGGACUGGAAAAAUGUUCGAAUCUUGAAAAUAUGACAAAAAAAAAUUGAAUGUCUCCUUUAAAAAUGAAUAAUAUUGGAAAACCAGACCCAAAGUAAAAAUACUUUUGGAACACAACUCUGUUUUUUGAAAUAUAUGUGUCUAUAAGUUGAAAAAUACUGGCUUUGCUUGAAUCUAGUCAGUAAUUUCUUAGUAGUGCAACUUGGUAAGGCUCCUAUACAGCUUUUAAGCUGCCAUAUCAACUUCUGCAACUAUGGCUAUAUUUCUAUGGACUUCAGUAAAAGCUUCUGAUAUUUUAUUUUUAUAGAAGCUUAAGGAAGGAGUGUAUAUUAUGGUCCUUUUGUAAAGAUUUCAGGGCAGCAUUCCUGCUUCAGGGAGCAACUGGGAGGUGGUAGGAGGGAUCUUUGUCACCAUUCCAUGUAAGAAGCAGGAGUUGUGCCCAGGUGGAGGUGAUAUUACUGCUGUAGGAUAUGUUGUAUGAACACCUUGUGAUGUGACCUGCAUAUUCCCACAAGCCUCUGGUGAGAAUUAACUUUGAUGUUUACAGCAUGACCCGUUUUUCCCUGGCUUUUUAGUGUAUCAAGGAGCUUGUCAACACCACCAGCUGACUCUGCCAUAACCAGCUGUCUCCUCCUCGAGCUCUUAUAAAAUGCAGUGGUGCUAACACAGGAUGAGGCAGAGUAAGCACAGUGUAGAUAUGGAGAAAUGCAGAACAUAUUAAAAACCAAUAAUUUUGAAACACAUAAAAAUACUGUUGAAAGACCUGUGAUAAAAUCAUGUCCUGAGUUCUUUUCAAAUAUCUCUCUAGGAAAUUUCUCAUACAUUCAUGU